Molecule: ribosomal RNA, 576 nt
Filed under: uncultured bacterium
Lineage: Bacteria
Description: partial 16S ribosomal RNA
Rfam family: Bacterial small subunit ribosomal RNA
Source: RNAcentral
UGGGGAAUUUUGGACAAUGGGCGAAAGCCUGAUCCAGCAAUGCCGCGUGUGUGAAGAAGGCCUUCGGGUUGUAAAGCACUUUUGUCCGGAAAGAAAUCCUUGGCUCUAAUACAGUCGGGGGAUGACGGUACCGGAAGAAUAAGCACCGGCUAACUACGUGCCAGCAGCCGCGGUAAUACGUAGGGUGCAAGCGUUAAUCGGAAUUACUGGGCGUAAGCGUGCGCAGGCGGUUUGCUAAGACCGAUGUGAAAUCCCCGGGCUCAACCUGGGAACUGCAUUGGUGACUGGCAGGCUAGAGUAUGGCAGAGGGGGGUAGAAUUCCACGUGUAGCAGUGAAAUGCGUAGAGAUGUGGAGGAAUACCGAUGGCGAAGGCAGCCCCCUGGGCCAAUACUGACGCUCAUGCACGAAAGCGUGGGGAGCAAAACAGGAUUAGAUACCCCUGGUAGUCCACGCCCUAAAACGAUGUCAACUAGUUGUUGGGGGAUUUCAUUUCCUUAGUAACGUAGCUAACGCGUGAAGUUGACCGCCUGGGGAGUACGGUCGCAAGAUUAAAACUCAAAUGAAUUGACGGGGUC